This 458-nucleotide ribosomal RNA is filed under the name uncultured bacterium. Its description in RNAcentral is "partial 16S ribosomal RNA". It matches the Rfam family "Bacterial small subunit ribosomal RNA", at positions 355 to 807 of the family's 1533-position model. The record is from RNAcentral.
UAGGGAAUCUUCCACAAUGGACGCAAGUCUGAUGGAGCAACGCCGCGUGAGUGAAGAAGGUUUUCGGAUCGUAAGCUCUGUUGUUGGUGAAGAAGGAUAGAGGCAGUAACCGGUCUUUAUUUGACGGUAAUCAACCAGAAAGUCACGGCUAACUACGUGCCAGCAGCCGCGGUAAUACGUAGGUGGCAAGCGUUGUCCGGAUUUAUUGGGCGUAAAGCGAGCGCAGGCGGAAUGAUAAGUCNGAUGUGAAAGCCCACGGCUCACCGUGGAACUGCAUCGGAAACUGUCAUUCUUGAGUGCAGAAGAGGAGAGUGGAACUCCAUGUGUAGCGGUGGAAUGCGUAGAUAUAUGGAAGAACACCAGUGGCGAAGGCGGCUCUCUGGUCUGCAACUGACGCUGAGGCUCGAAAGCAUGGGUAGCGAACAGGAUUAGAUACCCUGGUAGUCCAUGCCGUAAAC